UACGUAGGGCGCAAGCGUUGUCCGGAAUUAUUGGGCGUAAAGAGCUCGUAGGCGGUUUGUCGCGUCUGCUGUGAAAACUCGGGGCUUAACUCCGGGCCUGCAGUGGGUACAGGCAGACUAGAGUGCGGUAGGGGAGACUGGAAUUCCUGGUGUAGCGGUAAAAUGCGCAGAUAUCAGGAGGAACACCGGUGGCGAAGGCGGGUCUCUGGGCCGUAACUGACGCUGAGGAGCGAAAGCGUGGGGAGCGAACAGG
Molecule: ribosomal RNA, 253 nt
Filed under: uncultured bacterium
Lineage: Bacteria
Description: partial 16S ribosomal RNA
Rfam family: Bacterial small subunit ribosomal RNA
Source: RNAcentral